RNAcentral lists this ribosomal RNA (292 nucleotides) under uncultured bacterium. Its description in RNAcentral is "partial 16S ribosomal RNA". It matches the Rfam family "Bacterial small subunit ribosomal RNA", at positions 505 to 796 of the family's 1533-position model. The record is from RNAcentral.
GUGCCAGCAGCCGCGGUAAUACGUAGGGACCAAGCGUUGUUCGGAUUUACUGGGCGUAAAGGGCGCGUAGGCGGUUUGUCAAGUCAGUUGUGAAAUCUCCGAGCUUAACUCGGAACGGUCAACUGAUACUGUCAAACUAGAGUACAGAAGGGGCAAUCGGAAUUCUUGGUGUAGCGGUGAAAUGCGUAGAUAUCAAGAGGAACACCUGAGGUGAAGACGGGUUGCUGGGCUGAUACUGACGCUGAGGCGCGAAAGCUAGGGUAGCAAACGGGAUUAGAUACCCCUGUAGUCC